GGAAGGGAUCGCAAACACUUCUUUAAAUAAUAAGGGGAGAAUAUGGCUACUAUGGGGUCCAAAAAUUACAAUAGUGAAGGAAAUUAAAUACAUAGUCAAUACAUAGAAGCUGAAAUUAAAUGUGUUGCCAAUGAAAUGACCUAUCAUUUUACUGUUAUAUAUGGCCUCCAUACAGUGCAUGAUAGAAAGAAAUUAUGAAGAAAGUUUCG
This 209-nucleotide long non-coding RNA is filed under the name Nicotiana benthamiana. Its description in RNAcentral is "long non-coding RNA (NBEN_LNC007463)". Lineage: Eukaryota; Viridiplantae; Streptophyta; Magnoliopsida; Solanales; Solanaceae. The record is from RNAcentral.